This is an RNA transcript of Myotis davidii, 1982 nucleotides long. It is a transcript of the gene named myosin light chain 10, with no coding region annotated. The transcript has 6 exons. The record is from RefSeq and is a predicted model, not a curated record. Lineage: Eukaryota; Metazoa; Chordata; Mammalia; Chiroptera; Vespertilionidae.
GGGGGUGGGGGUGGGGGCACGGGAAGCCCAUGCUCUGGGAUGGGUAGCCGAGCUUGGCAGGAGGGUGGUGCAGGCUGAGUUGGAGGCAAGAGUGGGGGUGGUGAGGUGGGAGCGGGAAGCCUGUGUCUGUUCCACCUCUGAGCCAGUUCGGGGACUCCUUGAACAUGGGGACCCUAGUGAUGGCUGCGGAGGGCAAGGUCGCCUCCUCAGGGGUUCUUGAGGACUGAGAGCGUUCAGUGAGUGCUCAAUCGUGGACUCGGGGCACCAUGGCAUCCUGAAAGGAGCCCUGGAAUUAUUCCAUGUGGGUGGUCGCCUGCUCUACCUGCUAGGGAGUUCACCCCUGAGCUUUGGAGAGCUAUUGCCACACCGAUCCCCACUCUGAGCCUGGGUGGGGCAGGGGACCUCAGAGAUGAACAGACACAGUGCUAUGGCAGGACAGCGUGGUCUGUGAUACGGGAUGUGGCUGCCUUAGACUGGUAGGAAGAAUCGGGGGGAGCUCUAAAUUGGCUUGGGGAUCGGGGAAGGCUUCUCAGAGGAAGUGGCAGAGGAGUUGAGCCUAGAGGAUGAGGAUGCUGCCAGAUGGAAGGCAGGGAAGGUACUCCAGGUAGUGGGAAUGGCAGGAGGAAAUGUUGGGAGAGAAGAAAGCUCUAAGCGGGUUUGGGACAGAGUCGAGGACCCAGGUAAAUGGAGGUGGAAGCUCUGGGAGAGGGACAAAGGACAGAUCUCACAGGGCUGAGGAGUCGAAAUGUUAUCCUGAGAACACUGGGGAGGUGGCAGGAGAGGAGGUGGGCCCCGUCUGGGGUCUGAUGCUAGAAAAGAUGCCCUUCUCUGCUUCACAGGCUGGGCGCAGACCACCAGCCUUCCGGAGCCCGGGGGCCCAGGCACCGAGGAGAGCCCGGAAAAGAACAGAAGGCGGCGCCAGCUCCAAUGUCUUCUCCAUGUUUGAUCAGUCCCAGAUCCAGGAGUUUAAAGAGGCCUUCACCAUCAUGGACCAGAACCGGGAUGGCUUCAUUGACAAGGAGGACCUGAGGGACACCUUUGCUGCCCUGGGCGUCUCCCUCUCCUCCCCAGGCCGCAUCAACGUGAAGAAUGAGGAGCUGGAGGCCAUGGUGAAGGAGGCCCCUGGGCCCAUCAACUUCACGGUCUUCCUGACCAUGUUUGGGGAGAAGCUGAAGGGGACGCCAGGACUGGGGCUUCAGCUGAACAUGUCAUGCGAACGGGCUGAGCUGCAUGCUCAGCCGGCAGUGGAGACAGGAGCCAGGCUGAGGCAGGCACUGUCUCGGCCCUUUAAUUAGGACAAGGACACGUUGUCAUGAGACUCCCAACAGCGAGGGGAAGGUGUAGCCACUCUGCACCCUUUGAUGAGGUUCAAAGUCUGCAGAAGAGAGUGGCUGCGUGGCCAGCCCUGUGCCAGGCUUGUCACCCUGGGCCAGCCUCAGAGAUGCCCAAUGACCCAGACACAUCCUGUCCUGGGCUCCCAGUCUGAUGAGGGAGACACAGCUGACCUGACCCAGCCUGAUGGGCAGCAGCACAGAGGGGUGGAACGAGCAGGGGGCUCUGGCGAUCCAAAGAGUUGGCUUCAAAUCCUGCCUCCCCUUAUGAGUGGGGAUCUCAGGAAAGUAACAGAGACUCUCCGAGCCUCAGCUUCCUUUUGACAAACUGAGGACAUCAGUACCUACCAUGUGGGGUGUUCUGGGGACCCAGGGGAGCAAACAGUGAAGCUACAGGGCGGAGCUUGGCGCAGAGCGCUCAGAUGUGUUUGCGGACUUGAGGGAAUAAUGUUAGUCCAGAUCUUUACCGUGCGUUGUCAUAACUGACCCUGGGAGGUGGGCAGCAAACACCACCUUUUUCUCCAUUUCACCAAUGACACAGCCAAGCCUGAAAGAAGGAAGGGGACAUCCUUGGGGAAGGCACGGACCCAGAGGAGACCAUUCUCCAUGCCUUCAAGGUGUUCGACACUGAAGGGAAAGGCUUCAUCAAGG